UACGGGGGGGGCAAGCGUUGUUCGGAAUUACUGGGCGUAAAGGGCUCGUAGGCGGCCAACUAAGUCAAACGUGAAAUCCCUCGGCUUAACCGGGGAACUGCGCUUGAUACUGGAUGGCUUGAGAUUGGGAGAGGGAUGCGGAAUUCCAGGUGUAGCGGUGAAAUGCGUAGAUAUCUGGAGGAACACCGGUGGCGAAGGCGGCAUCCUGGACCAAUUCUGACACUGAGGAGCGAAAGCCAGGGGAGCAAACGGG
Molecule: ribosomal RNA, 253 nt
Filed under: uncultured bacterium
Lineage: Bacteria
Description: partial 16S ribosomal RNA
Rfam family: Bacterial small subunit ribosomal RNA
Source: RNAcentral